GUCUUCGUGGUGUAGUGGUCAGCCCACUCGACGCGUAACCGAGAGGACUGGGUUCGAUUCCCGGCGAAGGCG
This 72-nucleotide transfer RNA is filed under the name Stegodyphus mimosarum. It matches the Rfam family "tRNA". From Rfam's summary of the family: Transfer RNA (tRNA) molecules are approximately 80 nucleotides in length. Their secondary structure includes four short double-helical elements and three loops (D, anti-codon, and T loops). Lineage: Eukaryota; Metazoa; Arthropoda; Arachnida; Araneae; Eresidae. The record is from Rfam by way of RNAcentral.